Molecule: long non-coding RNA, 5481 nt
Filed under: Homo sapiens (human)
Lineage: Eukaryota; Metazoa; Chordata; Mammalia; Primates; Hominidae
Description: HSALNT0296601
Source: RNAcentral
CAUGAAGUGAUUACUGAAUUUAUUCUAAACUUUUUCUUCAUCCAAUAAGAUAUUCAUGUGAUUAUUCUUUUUUAGACUGUUGACGUGGUGAAUUACAUUGAUGGCUUUUCAAAUGUUGAGUGAGCCUUGCAUUCUGGGGAUAAGCCCCACUUGAUCAUGCCAUAUUAUUAAUAUCUUUUAAAUAUAUUUUUGGAUUCAAUUUGAUAAUAUUUUAUAAGAUUUUUGUGUCUGUGCUCUUAAAGGAUAUUGGGUUGACAUUUUCUUAAUUGUAAUGUCUUUGGUUUUAUUGGGUAAUGCCAAUCUCAUAAAAUCAAUUGAGAAGUGUUCCUUCCUCUUCUUUAUCUGGAAGAGAUUAUGUAAAAUUAUUAUUUCUUCCACAAUGUUUGGUAAACUUCAUCAGUGAAACCACUGGGGCCUAGAGAAUUCUUUUUGGAAGGUUUAAACUACAAAUUCAAUUUAAAAGUUAUACAUACAUAUAUAUGAAAUAAAUCAUUGCUUUAACAUAAACUUUUUUCUUCCUGAAUGAAUUUGGUAAUUUUUUUUAAUUUUAAAAAUUAGUGCAUUUUGUCAAAUUUACAAACAGCUUUUCAUAGUACUGUUCCCUUGUUAUCCUCUUAAGGUCUGUGGGGUUAAUAGUGAUGUUUCUUCUCUCAUUUCUGAUGUUUCUAAUUUGCAUCUUAUUUUUCUUGGUCAUCCAGGCUAGAGGUUUAUCAAUUGUGCUGAACUUUUAAAAUAAUCAACUUUUAGUUUCAUUAAUUUUCUCUAUUGUUUUUCUGUUUCCAAUUUAUUUGAGUUCUGGUCUUCUAAUAAUACUUUCCUUCCUUCUACUUACUUUGGGUUUAUUCUGUUCUUUUUCUAGUUUUGUCACUUGCAAGCUUAGAUCCUUGAUUUGAGAUGUUGUUCUUUUCCAAUAUAAGCAUUUAUAAAUUUCUCUAAAUCACCGUUUUAAAUGCCUUCUGCAAAUUUUGAUAUGUUGCAUUUUCUCUUUCAUUUACUUUUCUAAAUUCCUUUGUGGCUUUCCUUUUGGCCCAUGGGUAAUCCAGAAGUAUGUUGGUGUAUUAGUCCGUGCUUGCAUUGUUAUAAAGAAAUGCCUGAGGCCAGGCACGGUGGCUCAUGUCUGUAAUCCUAGCACUUUGAGAGACUGAAGUAGGCAGAUGCUUGAGACUAGCCUCAGCAACAUGGCAAAACCCCGUCUCUACAAAAAAUUAAAAAAUUAGCUGGGUGUGGUGGUGCAUGCUUGUAGUCCCAGAUACUCUGGAGACUAAGGUGGGAGGAUUCUUUGAGCCAGGAAGAUGGAGGUUGCAAUGAGCUGAGAUUGUGCCACUGCACUCCAGCCUGGGUAAUAGAGCAAGACUGUCUGUCACACACAAGAAAAAAAAAAAAAGAAAGAAAGAAGAAAAGAGAAAUACCUGAGACAGGGUAAUUUGUAAAGAAAAGAGGUUUAAUUGACUUAUGGUUCUGUAGGCUGUUCAGGAAACAGCUCUGGCAUCAGCUUCAGAAGAGGCCUCAGGAAGCUUACAAUCAUGGCAGGUGAAGCCAGGAGUGGGAACACCACAUGAAUAUCGCAUAGUAGGAAUCAUACAAUAUAUAAUCCUUUCAGAUUGGCUUCUUUAACUUAAUAACAUGUAUUUAAGUUUCUUCCUUGUAUUUUCAUGCCUUGAUAGCUCAUUCCUUUUAGAACUGAAUAAUGUUCCAUUGUAUGGAUAUACCACAGUGUAUUAGUCAGGGCUCCGUGGAGGGACAGAACUAAUAGGAUAGAUGUAUAUAUGAAGGGGAGUUUAUUAGGGAGUAUUGACUCACAUUAUCACAAGGCAAAGUCACUCAAUAAGCUAUCUACAAGCUGAGGAGCAAGGAAGCCAGUCCAAGUCCCAAAACCUCAAAAGUAGGGAAGCCAACAGUGCAGCCUUGUCUGCAGCUGAAGGUCUGAGAGCCCUUGGCAAAACACUGGUACUAUCUGUACUUUAUGAGUGAUACUUCCAAUGUUAUCUCAGUUUUCGGAACCUCUACUUGGCAGCUUUGACUUGUCACUCACUCAGCUUGUAUUGAUGGGGUGGGGCAGUCUCAGAUUGUUUUAUAGGUGCAAUUAUUUAACUUCUUUAGAUGAGGGUUGUGCUUUAUGUUACUCUCUGAAGCCUCAUUUAUUUGCCACAUGGUGGGUACAUGAAGAUACAUGCUAAAUGAAAGUUGUGCAAAGAGCUCUGAACUUGGAGGCAGAUGACCUUGGACUUUUACUCAGUCUGUGUUACACAUGAGCUUGGAUAAGACUGAUCUUUCAGCUUUCUUCAGACCUUAAGCAUGAGAUAUAAAACAAGUAGAACAUAUAAAUAAAUAGAAGAAAAUAUACACAAAUAUUACAUGAUCUUUGAAUUGUAAGACUCACUAAGCAUAAAUGCCACUGAAGAAACCACAAAGAAGAGAUUUGCCAGUAUGGAAAGCUUUUUAAUUCUAUAUAUCAGAAAAUAUAAUAAAAUUAAGAGGCAAAUGACCUAUUGAGAAAAAUACUUCUACUUGAGUCAUGGAUUGUGUUACCUCCUGGUUACGAUGUGUGACAAUACAUACAGAAUACUGCCAACCAGUGAUGCUCACCUGAGCCUUUGAUGUCCAGAGGGUCAAAGCCCUCACCAUAAAUCACAUCUCUAGACUGGUGGCCAAAGCCCUCAGGCCAACAAAGAUACUCAUAACACGCUGGGCAUUCCAGGGGCCUAGAGAUCACCUCCCGGUAGCCAAAAGCCCUAAGUUAAUUCUUCACUACACAGAAACCUAUCAUUUUAUCCCUAUCAAGUUGACAAAGUGUACCAGAUGCCAUCAGCGCUGGGACACAUUUCUGGACAUUUCAGCGCUCCCCAUUAGAUUUCUAAGGGCAGUAUUUGCAACUCCAUGCCUGAGGGCUUAAAAAAAAAUGCUGAAGGCCCUGUGCCCUUUUCCUUAAGUAGCCCUCACUUGGCAGUGGCUCACACCUGUAAUCCCAGCACUUUGGGAGGACAAGGCAGGUGGAUCAUGAGGUCAGGAAUUCAAGACCAGCCUGGCCAAGAUGGUGAAACCCCACCUCUACUAAAAAUACAAAAAUUAGCCAGGUCUCCUAAGUGAUCUUUCGUGUAAAAAGAAGUUUAGAAAAUGCUUUAGGAUAAAUUGUAUGAGGUUCAAUAGGGACAAAAAAGCACCUACAUCAUAAUAACAGUUAACAUGCACUUGUAAUAUCCUAAUUAGAUACAAGACAAGAAAAUAUAAGGGAAGCAAAUACAGUAAUGCCUUAUAAGCAUUGGUUUCUUAGAUUUGAUGAAAUGGGAUAUUUGCACAAAAUUUACCUAAGAAAUUGCUGUCGUUUUUACAUGAACAAGAUACCAGUAGCAGCCACUCCCCAGUUGUGACAAUCAAAAGUAUCUCCAGACAUUGCCAAAUAUCCUUUGGGAGGGUAGGGAAAAAUCAUCCCUGGUUGAGAACCACAGCUGUAGACUAACCAUUAGUUAUUCUGAAAGGUUAUCUGUCCACAGCCUUUAACGUUUCAAGUGCUAAUCCAUUGACCAUGAGACCUAGGCCAUUCACUAUGAUUAUUGUAUUGAUUUUUUGUUGGUGCUGUGACAAAUUACUACAAAUGUAGUGGCUUAAACAAUACAAAUUUAUUAUCAUACAGUUCUGAAGGGCUGCAUUUUUAACUGCCUGAUGUCCUUUUCUGUCUGUUUUUAUGAUUGCUGGCUCCUCCAGCUGUGUCCCAAACAGAUUCAUUGACUUUGCUUCUAAAUCUGCUCUUCUUCCCCAUAUCACUAGUUAUGUUAAUGGCUUUGCCAUCUUCCUAGAGCCAGAUUUCAACCUCAUUAUUUACCUCAUCUAACAUGCAAUUAUUUGCUAAAUCCUGGGGAUUCCAUUUCCACAGGAGCUUUUCAAUCUAUCCUUUCUUCCCUAUUCCCAGUGCUAUUCUCUUAUUUCAGGCCUCAAGUUGCUAUUUGUGGAUUAUGAAAUAGUCUUUCUAAAUGACCCCCUAGCCAGUCUCCAUAGCUUGUUUUUCCUUUUCUGUCAAUGGUCACACAGAAACAGCUAUUCUUAUGGAGCACUCUAAGUCAGUAAUACCCUUAACCUUCAAACCACUCCCUGAGCUGCACUGAGCCAAGUGUAAGCCAGAAGGCAGAAGUUCAAAUUCACAACCUAUAAAAAAAUACCAAGACAUCAUCGAAAAUCAAAUCCACAGGGAACUUUUGUACCCAAUUAAAAGAAAGGAAAGGACUCAGAUUAGCUGCAGGGUCAUAUGUGGCUGGGUGGAAUAUUGACAAUUCCUGGGACAGUGGAGGAAAGGCUAGGAGUCAUUGCAUGACUCAAUGCUCAACCUCUCCUUUGAAAAACUUGAAUAUUUAAAGAAUAAGAAAUAUUUAAAGAAUCUCUGAUUGAAGGUGUGCCACCUUAUUGCAUGCCUGAAAAUCCACCUGUCUGGUCGCAUUCUUCAGAUGAAGCAACUGAGGCUCAGAGGAUUUAAGUAAUUUGCCUGAGGUCAUGUAGACAGUAAGUGGCAGAAUUGGAAUUCUGUUUUAGGAAUUCAAAGUUUCAUAUUCUUUCCACUGUAUGACCUGGUUUCAUCCACAUUUGCAACUUCAUUUUCCAUUCUUUUCUUUUUAUCUUAAUGUUGCAGUAAAACCAAAUUCCUCACUCUUUUUUGUGGGACCUGGAACUUUUCCACCUUUAUAUCUUUUCUCAUGUGGUUCCCUCUGCCUAGAAUGGCCCAGAACCUAUCUUAAGCCGUGAAAAUUGUACCCUUGAAAAUCCAGCAUCAACAGCAUUGCUUCCAGGAAGGGAACAGACAGUUUCUCUCUGGCUUUAAUGCACCCCUUUCAUAAGAACUCAUAGAAUCACAUUGGGCCCACCGGCCCACAAAGAUCCCUACUUUGAAGUGAUAAGCACUAGUAGCAGCUCAUAGCUUGUUUAUGGCUGUUUCCAGUUUGUGCCUUUCGUUAUAGAUAGUCAUGCAUAGGUCUUCCUCUUUUAGUGAACACAUUGUUCACGAGGGAAGAGCUGUGUUUGAUUCAUCUUUAUGCUUCCCAUAGAGUCUUGCCCAUGAGAAGCACUCAAAAUACGUGUGGACUAAAGAAGCAAGUAAAGAGAAGAAAUACUUUGUCUAGAAUUGCCUAUUUCUUUCUGGUGUGGUCUGAAUGUGUUCCCCCAAGUUCAUAUGUUAAAACUUAAUCACCAAUGUGAUAGUAUUAAGACGACAGGCCUAAGUCCUGAGAGCAGAGCCUUCCUGGAUGGAAUUAGGGUCCUUACAAAAGAGCUUGAGGGAGUGUUUGUUCUUUUCUGUUCUUCUGCCAUGAGGAUACAGCAUUCACCCCCCUUUUUGCCCUUCUGUCCCUCCCACCAUGUCAGGACACAGUGCGUAAGGUACCUCCUUGGAAGCAGAGACCAGGCCGUUUCCAGCCACCAAACCUGCUGGCACCUUGAUCUUGGAUUUCCCAGCCUCCAGAACUGUGAGAAAUAAAUUUUUUAUUGUUUACAAAUUAC